This 1135-nucleotide long non-coding RNA is filed under the name Mytilus galloprovincialis (Mediterranean mussel). Lineage: Eukaryota; Metazoa; Mollusca; Bivalvia; Mytilida; Mytilidae. The record is from RNAcentral.
CCUUCUAUCACUGUCUAAACAAACAAUGUACACGUACGGUUUUUUUAAAACCAGAAAUGAAUUUUUACUAAAUAUAUAUAACUCUUUAUUUUUUCAUUUCAUUUUUUGCAAAAAUAUAAAACAAAAUUAUUUACAUGAGUACGGAAACCGACAAUACUUAUUUUAAAUCAAACUACAAUUUUACGACAUCAAUUUCGAAAAUCAUCUUUUAUAAAUAAAUUCCCUCUUUUUUAUAUAUCCUUUUAAUUUUUCAUACAAGCAUGUUGUAAUCCCGAUGCCACAUGAAAAAAGAAUAAUCUCUAUUAUACAUAAGACUUAUAGUCAUUAAUUGUGUAAGGUAUUGGAUGGGGUUUACACCUCAACUUUAUGUGUUGCAACAUCGUAUCAAGUGAAGAUCUGCAUCUACAUUGUAUGCAUUUGUUGGACAAACUGCAUAAAUUAUCCUUGGAAUUCAUCAUUUUUAAAAUCUGAUUAUAAAUCUAUAACUUCUGUCUCUUUCUGGAUUAUAUCUCUACAAACAUAUAUAUGGAAUACAUGCGUAAUGCAUUAACAUUUGGGGAACUGUUGUACAAAAGAAAAAUAUUUUACCAGUAAGUACAUAUCAUUGACUAUUCUACAAAUAAAAGUAUUCGCCAAUAUUCGUGCAAAUAUCCUUUGAUUAAACAUGUUAAAGGCAAAUUCUUAAAAAAUAAAAAAAAAUAAUCACAAUCUGUUUUACAACAACUAUGCCAUUUUCAAACGAUAUUGCAUUGUGGCAAUACCGGGGAAAAGUGCACCAUUAUUUUUUGUGAAAAUUUUCUCGUGUAUCAAAAUAUUACUGAUCUUUCCCAUGUAAAAUUGUCAAAGAGCACCAUUUUUGAAAUCAGCUUAUCUUUUCAACAGACUAUUUCACUAACAGAAAACACCUAUAAUUAUCAUAUCUAACUAAAUUUUCUGUGCAUGACAACAUCUCCCCGUCUACCCUGCACGCGCAACCGUUUUGAAAGUUUGAAACACAGUUAGUUUUCUGCUUAUAGUAAACUGCACUUGUUUAAUAUUAAGUAGUAUUUCUGGUAACUAACGUUAUCCUUUUUUAAAGUGAAUAUUUUGAUGAAAUUGAAUCGUGUUCGAAUUUCAACUAAGACUAGUACCAAAC